GCAUCAGGACACUAAUGAGCACUCCUCUUAAUCCCCGGAGGCACACCUGCUCCCUGCUAGAUCGAUAUUCGUGUUCAGAUGACUUUCCAGCGUAUUCCUGUUUGCCUGCCUGCCCGGUUCCGACCUUGCCUGUUCCUGACCAUUCUGCUCCCCGGACGUCGACGAGGCUUCACCUGGAUUGCUGCUGUCAGUGUUGGACGUCAAAGGAAAUAUUGUAAAAAUAACACCAGCAGCAUUGUGAUAUCAACAAUACUAAUAAGUCUCAUCAUAUGCAGUAUUCCCAUCAGGAGUUACGACACAGAGAAAGCUGAAAAAUGAACCAGUAAGAAAAAUAUUGCUCAUGUCACUCUCAUUGUAUCUUUACAACCUAAAGUGUUCUUUUUCCUGCAGGAGUCUUAUCAGUAUAGGAGAUAUGAGAGAGAUGUGGUUGUUCAGUUAAAGAAAGCAGCAGUUUUAAUUCAGCUAAAGAGUCCUGCACAAUAUGGUGCAGAUAGAAAGUCUGUAAACACAGAAAAUAAUAUUGAUCAAUAUGGAAAUUAGAGGCACUGAACAUAAUGAAUGGUAUGAUGCUGCUUGCCUGUAGUACCUCCUGCAUAGACUACAGCCCUAUAACUCCAUUUGUUUGACUUGAAAAUUGUAUAAUCCUCCCAUUUUGUCCAUUAGUUUUAGACCAACAUGACCAAACAUUUUUUUAAAGGCUGCUAAUGUUUCUAAAAUGAAUAAAUGAUAUAUUUCAGUAUCAGUAACAUGUACUGGAAUUGCUUUUCCUUCUUUGGCCAUUGAUUUAUUUAUUCCUUUCCCUUAACCGCUAAUUAUUUCUCACAGUACACAGAGUUGAAGUCUCUCUCUCUCUCUCUCUCUCACACACACACACACACACACCUUUUUGUGUGUGAGCUUAUAUAUAAAUUACAUUGCCAUGCAGGUGCUGAAGCCACAGCAAGUCUGUGGAUCUAAUCAGUGCAUAAUAAAGGGGAGGAGUGGCAUCCUGGAAGGAGC
RNAcentral lists this long non-coding RNA (999 nucleotides) under Takifugu rubripes (torafugu). RNAcentral describes it as "lncRNA (ENSTRUG00000032402.1)". Lineage: Eukaryota; Metazoa; Chordata; Actinopteri; Tetraodontiformes; Tetraodontidae. The record is from RNAcentral.